GUGCUCACUUCAGCAGCACAUCUACUAAAACUGGAAUAAUACAGAGAAGAUUAGCAUGGGCCCUGGGCAAAGAUGAUACACAAAUUCAUGAAGCAUUCCAUAUUUCU
RNAcentral lists this small nuclear RNA (107 nucleotides) under Catagonus wagneri (Chacoan peccary). Lineage: Eukaryota; Metazoa; Chordata; Mammalia; Artiodactyla; Tayassuidae. The record is from RNAcentral.